RNAcentral lists this ribosomal RNA (405 nucleotides) under uncultured bacterium. Its description in RNAcentral is "partial 16S ribosomal RNA". It matches the Rfam family "Bacterial small subunit ribosomal RNA", at positions 30 to 526 of the family's 1533-position model. The record is from RNAcentral.
AUUGAACGCUGGCGGCAGGCUUAACACAUGCAAGUCGAACGAGUGGCGGACGGGUGAGUAAUGCUUGGGAAUCUGCCUUAUGGAGGGGGAUAACUACUGGAAACUGUAGCUAAUACCGCGUACCAUCGGAUGAGCCCAAGUGGGAUUAGGUAGUUGGUGGGGUAAAGGCUCACCAAGCCGACGAUCUCUAGCUGGUCUGAGAGGAUGACCAGCCACACUGGGACUGAGACACGGCCCAGACUCCUACGGGAGGCAGCAGUGGGGAAUAUUUGGCAAUGGACGAAAGUUGACCGAGCAAAGCCGCGUGAGUGAAGAAGGUUUUCGGAUCGUAAAACUCUGUGGUUAGAGAGGCGGUAUCUAAACAGAAAGCCACGGCUAACUACGUGCCAGCAGCCGCGGUAAUUC